This is a non-coding RNA of Klebsiella pneumoniae IS43, 191 nucleotides long. The record is from Rfam. NCBI's taxonomy places the organism in Bacteria, Pseudomonadati, Pseudomonadota, Gammaproteobacteria, Enterobacterales, Enterobacteriaceae.
GAAGUUUUUGGUUGUCGCUCUGCCGGGUGACACUGCACACGAAAGCGUAUUGGUCUGUUUCAAAUUACUGUUUGAAGCGAAUGCUCAGGUCGGUUUCGUGUGCUGCAUCUUUGACGCAUUCAUUUAUUGGUAACGCAUGAACCCCAUCGUAAUUAAUCGGCUUCAACGAAAGCUGGGCUACACUUUUCAUC